This 448-nucleotide ribosomal RNA is filed under the name uncultured bacterium. RNAcentral describes it as "SSU rRNA". It matches the Rfam family "Bacterial small subunit ribosomal RNA", at positions 26 to 518 of the family's 1533-position model. The record is from RNAcentral.
AGAAUGAACGCUGGCGGCAUGCCUAACACAUGCAAGUCGAACGAAUAUCCUUCGGGAUGUUAGUGGCGCACGGGUGCGUAACGCGUGGGAAUCUACCCUUGGGUUCGGAAUAACAGUGAGAAAUUACUGCUAAUACCGGAUAAUGUCGCAAGACCAAAGAUUUAUUGCCCAAGGAUGAGCCCGCGUAAGAUUAGCUAGUUGGUGGGGUAAAGGCCUACCAAGGCGACGAUCUUUAGCUGGUCUGAGAGGAUGAUCAGCCACACUGGGACUGAGACACGGCCCAGACUCCUACGGGAGGCAGCAGUGGGGAAUAUUGGACAAUGGGCGAAAGCCUGAUCCAGCAAUGCCGCGUGAGUGAUGAAGGCCUUAGGGUUGUAAAGCUCUUUACCCGGGAAGAUAAUGACUGUACCGGGAGAAUAAGCCCGGCUAACUCCGCGCCAGCAGCCGC